Molecule: ribosomal RNA, 251 nt
Filed under: uncultured prokaryote
Description: partial 16S rRNA
Rfam family: Bacterial small subunit ribosomal RNA
Source: RNAcentral
ACGGAGGAUGCAAGCGUUAUCCGGAUUCAUUGGGUUUAAAGGGUGCGCAGGCGGAUUAAUAAGUCAGUGGUGAAAUCCUACGGCUCAACUGUAGAACUGCAAUUGAUACUGUUAGUCUUGAGCAUUGUUGAGGUAGGUAGAAUGCGUCGUGUAGCGGUGAAAUGCGUAGAUAUGACGCAGAACACCAAUCGCGAAGGCAGCUUACCAAGCAAUAACUGACGCUCAUGCGCGAAAGCGUGGGGAUCAAACAG